AUCCUUCAGGUUCUGACAUGUGAUGAGUGGGGUUUUCACAUGCCUGUGUGACAUGUGCCAUCCUUAACUGUUAUGACAGGGCACAGUACUGUCGUUUUAAUA
Chelydra serpentina (North American snapping turtle) is the source of this 102-nucleotide small nucleolar RNA. The record is from Ensembl. NCBI's taxonomy places the organism in Eukaryota, Metazoa, Chordata, Testudines, Chelydridae.